GUUGCAUGUCGUUUACAAGUUUACCAAGAUAAAAAGUUUGAAUCUUUAUCAAUUUUUAGAACAUGUGUAUGUAACCUGUUUUGUCAAGAUUUGUGUUUAUUACAAACAGAGAAACAGUCAAUAGCAGAGUUAUAUCUUGAAACAAAAGCUUCUGAAAUAAUUCAGUUCUGUGAUUUAUAUGAUUGUUUUCCACUACUCUGUAAAUUGUAUAAAGAAACCCGGAACUCAAUCUUACAGAUUUCUUCAAAAAUCCGUUUUCAGUUUACACGACUGAAAUUGACAAGCUUGAUAAAAACGGGCAUAAUGGAAAAUUCUGUGGCUUGGCUUUGUGUGUUAUGUUCAAGAAUCACUUGAGGGAGGACUGGUUGACAGAUGAGAUAGAUGAGGAAAAAUCAAAGAUAAUAAAAAACACAUGUGAGGCGAGUAGACUGGCCAGAGGAACAUCACGACUGUUUCUACUUGAUGAACUAAAUUCACUUGAACAUACUUUUAUUAAGAAAGAACAAGGUGUAUUUAAAACAAAACAUGAUAAAAUAUUUGACUUACUUGCAUACUAUUUUGGACAAAAAAUGAUCCAGUGUUUGAUAAAGAAUGCGCACCCGUUUGUUAUUAUGCAAAGAUUUUUACUAGAAAGAAAAGAUGACAUGAUCAGUUCAUCACCAUUGUACCACCUCAAUACCA
This 681-nucleotide long non-coding RNA is filed under the name Mytilus galloprovincialis (Mediterranean mussel). Lineage: Eukaryota; Metazoa; Mollusca; Bivalvia; Mytilida; Mytilidae. The record is from RNAcentral.